This 549-nucleotide long non-coding RNA is filed under the name Homo sapiens (human). RNAcentral describes it as "HSALNT0227238". The record is from RNAcentral. Lineage: Eukaryota; Metazoa; Chordata; Mammalia; Primates; Hominidae.
CCUAUUUCCAAAUAAGGACACAGUCUGAGGCACUGAGGCCUAGGACUUCACCAGUCUGGGGGAGGCAUGACUCAAUCCCUAAUGCUUGUGUCAAGAAAAAUACCAGUUGAGGUGUUUGCUGCCAGCUAAGAACAUAACAAGCAGGGCACAUGGGCAGCGACUACCCCCACUCACAGCCAAAGCAGCAAAUACCUGCAGACAGCAUCCUCCCCUGCCUGGACUCAGCCUGAAAACCACAUCCUAAGGGAGAGGAAGGAGGCUAAUUUGACAUUCCUGGCACCAUCCCCUCCUCUCAUGUCCUUCUCGAAGCUGGCCGCCAGGUCCCCAAGAACCCCGCAUGACUUGCUGGAGAGCUGCGAUUUGUUUUUGUCCUAUUAGCUCCUGCAAAGGACAGAAACAGAUUGCUGGGCUAGAGGGAUGGCCUGGGAAGAAUACGGAUGAGGAACUGGCUGCAUGAGGCGGGAGCAGGAAGGUUGCGAUGAACGGGUCCAGACAAAGGUCUCCUGGUGGAUUUCUACUCUGGGGCAAAAGGGCUAAAAAAGGAAACAG